This 428-nucleotide ribosomal RNA is filed under the name uncultured bacterium. Its description in RNAcentral is "partial 16S ribosomal RNA". It matches the Rfam family "Bacterial small subunit ribosomal RNA", at positions 354 to 796 of the family's 1533-position model. The record is from RNAcentral.
GUAGGGAAUAUUGGACAAUGGGGGCAACCCUGAUCCAGCGACGCCGCGUGAGUGAUGAAGGCCUUCGGGUCGUAAAGCUCUGUUGCAGGGGAAGAACACAAUGACGGUACCCUGCUAGAAAGGAUCGGCUAACUUCGUGCCAGCAGCCGCGGUAAGACGAGGGAUCCUAGCGUUGUUCGGAAUUAUUGGGCGUAAAGCGGGUGCAGGUGGCUUGGUAAGUCAGAUGUGAAAGCCUGGGGCUUAACCCCAGAAGUGCAUUUGAUACUGCUGAGCUUGAGUGCUGGAGAGGCUAGUAGAAUUCCUGGUGUAGUGGUGAAAUACGUAGAUAUCAGGAGGAAUACCGGAGGCGAAGGCGGAUAGCUGGCCAGACACUGACACUCAGACCCGAAAGCGUGGGGAUCAAACAGGAUUAGAUACCCUAGUAGUCC